UACAUAUUUUAGUCCACCAUUUUCUUUCUACCUAUUUUUGUCUCUUCCUUGUCAAAUCUGCACAAAAAAAGUCAACAACCCCUUAUAUUUGGAAUUCCAUUUGUUGAUCA
Long non-coding RNA from Ipomoea nil (Japanese morning glory), 110 nucleotides. RefSeq lists it as uncharacterized. The transcript has 3 exons. Lineage: Eukaryota; Viridiplantae; Streptophyta; Magnoliopsida; Solanales; Convolvulaceae. The record is from RefSeq and is a predicted model, not a curated record.